This 429-nucleotide ribosomal RNA is filed under the name uncultured bacterium. RNAcentral describes it as "bacterial SSU rRNA". It matches the Rfam family "Bacterial small subunit ribosomal RNA", at positions 355 to 776 of the family's 1533-position model. The record is from RNAcentral.
UGGGGAAUUUUGGACAAUGGGCGCAAGCCUGAUCCAGCCAUGCCGCGUGUCUGAAGAAGGCCUUCGGGUUGUAAAGGACUUUUGUCGGGGAGGAAAUCCCUAGUGUUAAUAGCACUGGGGGAUGACAGUACCUGAAGAAUAAGCACCGGCUAACUACGUGCCAGCAGCCGCGGUAAUACGUAGGGUGCGAGCGUUAAUCGGAAUUACUGGGCGUAAAGCGUGCGCAGGCGGUUAGAUAAGCCAGAUGUGAAAUCCCCGAGCUCAACUUGGGAACUGCGUUUGGAACUGUUUAACUAGAGUGCGUCAGAGGGGGGUGGAAUUCCGCGUGUAGCAGUGAAAUGCGUAGAGAUGCGGAGGAACACCGAUGGCGAAGGCAGCCCCCUGGGAUGACACUGACGCUCAUGCACGAAAGCGUGGGGAGCAAACAGG